RNAcentral lists this ribosomal RNA (274 nucleotides) under uncultured Eubacteriales bacterium. Its description in RNAcentral is "uncultured Clostridiales bacterium partial 16S ribosomal RNA". It matches the Rfam family "Bacterial small subunit ribosomal RNA", at positions 69 to 339 of the family's 1533-position model. Lineage: Bacteria; Bacillati; Bacillota; Clostridia; Eubacteriales. The record is from RNAcentral.
AGGGAAAGAGCUUGCUCUUUCCGGAAUUGAGUGGCAAACGGGUGAGUAACACGUAAACAACCUGCCUUCAGGAUGGGGACAACAGACGGAAACGACUGCUAAUACCGCAUGAUGUAUCUGGAAGGCAUCUUCCGGAUACCAAAGAUUUAUCGCUGUGGGAUGGGCUCAUGUCUGAUUAGUUAGUUGGUGGGGUAACGGCCUACCAAGUCGACGAUCGGUAGCCGGACUGAGAGGUCGAACGGCCACAUUGGGACUGAGACACGGCCCAGACUCC